CAGCUAUUAUCUAGUUGUGGUUCUAGUAAAUUCUUAAGUCUAGUUUACUCAAUAUUUUCUAUGAAUAUGAAGGCAUCUAUCUAGUGUCAAGUAUGUAGAAGAAGUGAGGAAAAAUCUCUCAAAAAUAGAGAGAAGAGUGUGCUAUAGCAACUCCUUUGUAAUCCCCCAAAUUUCAUUAGUAAAAUCUCAUAUUUCUCCAAUCUCUAUCCUUCUACAUCCAACAAUAAGUGCCAAAGGGAAAAGAGAAAGACAAUCAACGGCGAUGAUUUGCUUUGGGCUAUAACGACUCUUGGAUUCAAGGAUUAUGUCGAACCAUUAAAGAUUUACUUGCAGAGAUUUCGUGAUACAGAAGGUGAGAAGCCUGCAAUGUCUGGAAGAGGAGGAGAAAACGAGAGUGGAGGGAAUGGCAGUGUUGUGAAUAUGGAGAAUAAUGGGGUUGGUUAUUAUGAAGGACGUGUACGGAUCCAGUGCGUAUAAUCGGACGGCCGGUAGUACUUAGUAUGUUGUUGGAUUAGAGAAGGUCGGGCCGGGUUAUCAAACGGGCUCUGGGCCGUCUUCUGCUACACGAAGGCCCAGGUAGCUGCUUCACUUGUUACCUUUACCUUUUUGUCAUCACCUCCCUAGUUAUGUUAGAUAAACUAGUGAUGGGGAGUGGGUACAUUGGAUGUAUAGAUUAAGGCUUCAUUUGUCUACCAUUUUUUUACAUUCUAUCAUAUUAUUUUUUCAAUAGUAUUCAUUUUCAAGCACACAUUCUUCAUUAAAAUAAUAUUACAC
Molecule: long non-coding RNA, 774 nt
Filed under: Olea europaea subsp. europaea
Lineage: Eukaryota; Viridiplantae; Streptophyta; Magnoliopsida; Lamiales; Oleaceae
Source: RNAcentral